GCCCCCCUCCCCACCACCACCCAUCCGGCUCCCUUCUCUCUCCCGAUCCAAAUCCUCCGCUGCCCCUUCUCUUCCCUGCCGCGUCGCCCCCUCCCCUCCGUCUUCCCCAGCCGCACCUUCCCCUCCCCGGGCGGAGGCGGCCCGCCGGCAGCGGGAGUUCCACACGCGGGCGGAAGCGGCCUACCGGCGCGGGAGCUCCACGCGGCUGGCCGACACAGGAGCUCGAGGCGGGACGGAGACAGCCGGCCUCAAAUCUGCCGACGAGUCUCCCAGCCCCACCAGCCUCCCCAUGCGGCCGUCGGAGAUGUUCCGCUGGGCCGCGGUGGCGCUCACUCUUGCGGCCGCGGCGCUCCUAGCCGCCGCACCAGCCGCCGUGCAUCUCUCCGUCUGCUCCUGGGCGGUGGUGACAUGGGCGCCGCCGCUCCCGGCUCCCACGCAAGCUCAUCCGUGAAUCCAGGUGCGGCUCCUCAGGCUCUUCUUCCCAAUCUCCUUCAACACAUACACAUGGCCCCUUUCCCCCUUUCCUUGUCCCUUUCCCCUCAAAGCGCAAGACGGCAGCUCGUCCCCAUGGUGCGCGGCAACAUCUUCAGGUGUGCAGGCCCUCUCCAAUCCUGAUCCAAUGGCAUGCAGAGGUGCUACAAGCCCAGAUCUGGUGGAACACUGACUUACAUCAUCAUUUGACAGGUCAGUGAGUUGUCGCGGAAGACUGGAAGACAUACAUAAGGCACUAGAGACUUCUAGCUUGAGAAGUGAGAACACAAGACUUAUGGAUCAAACUAUCAGGUGAUUCUCAGUAAGUAGUAUUCACCAACAUAGCACUCUCAGAUGUGAACACAAUAGCUUUUUUUCUGUUAAAGAGAGCACUUGACUAUCAGUUGGAAAAGCCAUAUUUGACAUUAUUGAACUGAUUAUCUUUUGCUGCAUGCUGUCCAAUUGAUUGAUAAGCCAUAUUGAAUUAUAGAUUUGGUAUUCUUUGGAACAAUACUACAAUGCAUCUGUUAGCUAUAUAAGGACCACUGAAGCAGAUUAGAGGAGGCACUAUAUAUGAGUAAAGAUGUAUGAACAGAUGUAUGUAUGUGUGAUCAGAGGAGGCACUAUGAUGUAUAUAUGGCCUUUUUUUUA
Long non-coding RNA from Panicum virgatum (switchgrass), 1122 nucleotides. RefSeq lists it as uncharacterized. The transcript has 3 exons. Lineage: Eukaryota; Viridiplantae; Streptophyta; Magnoliopsida; Poales; Poaceae. The record is from RefSeq and is a predicted model, not a curated record.